This 252-nucleotide ribosomal RNA is filed under the name uncultured bacterium. RNAcentral describes it as "partial 16S ribosomal RNA". It matches the Rfam family "Bacterial small subunit ribosomal RNA", at positions 524 to 776 of the family's 1533-position model. The record is from RNAcentral.
UACGGAGGGUGCAAGCGUUAUCCGGAUUUAUUGGGCGUAAAGGGUGUGUAGGCGGUUUAUUAAGUUUAAGAUCAAAGCCCGAGGCUUAACCUCGGUUCGUCUUAAAAACUGGUAAACUUGAGUGUAGUAGAGGCAAGUGGAAUUUCUAGUGUAGCGGUUAAAUGCGUAGAUAUUAGAAGGAACACCAGUGGCGAAGGCGGCUUGCUGGGCUAUCACUGACGCUGAGGCACGAAAGCGUGGGGAGCAAAUAGG